Molecule: ribosomal RNA, 406 nt
Filed under: uncultured bacterium
Lineage: Bacteria
Description: partial 16S ribosomal RNA
Rfam family: Bacterial small subunit ribosomal RNA
Source: RNAcentral
AUUGAACGCUGGCGGCAGGCCUCACACAUGCAAGUCGAACGAGUGGCGGACGGGUGAGUAAUGUCUGGGAAACUGCCUGAUGGAGGGGGAUAACUACUGGAAACGGUAGCUAAUACCGCAUACCAUCAGAUGUGCCCAGAUGGGAUUAGCUUGUUGGUGGGGUAACGGCUCACCAAGGCGACGAUCCCUACCUGUUCUGAGAGGAUGACCAGCCCCACGGGAACUGAUACACGGUCCAGACGCCUACGUGAGGCAGCAGUGUGGAAUAUUGCACAAUGGGCGCAAGCCUGAUGCAGUCAUGCCGCGUGUAUGAAGAAGGCCUUCGGGUUGUAAAGUACUUUCAGCGGGGAGGCGUUACCCGCAGAAGAAGCACCGGCUAACUCCGUGCCAGCAGCCGCGGUAAUUC